Cyprinodon tularosa is the source of this 491-nucleotide long non-coding RNA. RefSeq lists it as uncharacterized. The record is from RefSeq and is a predicted model, not a curated record. Lineage: Eukaryota; Metazoa; Chordata; Actinopteri; Cyprinodontiformes; Cyprinodontidae. The transcript has 3 exons.
UGGGAUCUGGAGAUCUGCCACCUUCCUCCAGCAGAGAGCGCCCUGGGUGUCCUGAGAUGAAGCCACCUACACACCUGAGGCUGAUUCACCUGAUUAGGAGACCCACUACUUAAGCAGCGGCCAGACCUGUCUUCAGCGCCGGAGUGUUGACCAGUUUUGGAAAACCCGACUGAAGUCUGUAGCUCUGGAGGAGCUCGUGCUUGGAAACCUGCCUGCCUGCCCAGAAAAGCCAAACCUGAAGAUUCUCAGUCUGAAUUCCCCAGCUAGUUCUCAAGGGAGGACUAGGAGAACAACUCAAGGUCUGAACCUCGUUAGCCUGAAGCUAAACCCUGCCGCUGCUGAGCUCUCUGCUGAAUCCACAGUCUCUGGACCCAACCGGUUCCCUCUCUCUAUCGAUCAGUCUGAACAUCAUCAGAUUACUCUGUGAUUCCAGUCCCGGACCAGUACCAAAACCUGUUCAUUCAUAAAUCUUGUGUGCUUCUCUAAAUAAA